UCGCUUCUUAUGCGCAUUAUCGUUGCUACUAAAUAAUGCCGCUAGCACCUGAAAAACACCGUAGAAUAAAAAUAUAGCCAACAAUAAUGGAAUACCAAACAACACAGCCAUUGUAUCCACACUAUGACGCUGUAAGAAAUUCAAGUGACGUGCGGCCACACGCAAUUGUGGCGCACCCUUAUGUCUGAGUACAUACUCAGUCCAAUAGAUUGCUGUAUCGAGCGGAUUCAUAGGUCGAUCAUGGAAACUGGCAGAAAUCUCUCGCGCUCUUUCGGUGUACUUGGGAUUGUUCAACACCUCUAGAAUGGCAUCGCGCAGUUCAGUGCUGGUGAAAUUUCGGAAGUUUAUUCCAACACCAAAACCUUUAUAUACGGCCUUUUCAACAUUUAAAUAUUGAUCGUAAAAAAUGGGCAUUCCCACAACCGGUUUGCCAUGAUGCACCGCCUCUAUCUGACUAUGCAUACCACCAUGUGUAAUGAACAA
Bactrocera dorsalis (oriental fruit fly) is the source of this 483-nucleotide long non-coding RNA. RefSeq lists it as uncharacterized. The record is from RefSeq and is a predicted model, not a curated record. The transcript has 2 exons. NCBI's taxonomy places the organism in Eukaryota, Metazoa, Arthropoda, Insecta, Diptera, Tephritidae.